Molecule: ribosomal RNA, 260 nt
Filed under: uncultured bacterium
Lineage: Bacteria
Description: partial 16S ribosomal RNA
Rfam family: Bacterial small subunit ribosomal RNA
Source: RNAcentral
UGCCUACGGGAGGCAGCAGUGGGGAAUAUUGCACAAUGGGGGGAACCCUGAUGCAGCGACGCCGCGUGAGUGAAGAAGUAUUUCGGUAUGUAAGGCUCUAUCAGCAGGGAAGAAGAUGACGGUACCUGACUAAGAAGCCCCGGCUAACUACGUGCCAGCAGCCGCGGUAAUACGUAGGGGGCAAGCGUUAUCCGGAUUUACUGGGUGUAAAGGGAGCGUAGACGGCAGGGCAAGUCUGGAGUGAACGCCCGGGGCCCAAC